GCCUUCGUGGUGUAGUGGCAAGCACGCUCGAUGCGUAUUUGAGUGCUCCGUGGUUCGACUCCCGGCGAGAGCA
Molecule: non-coding RNA, 73 nt
Organism: Stegodyphus mimosarum
Lineage: Eukaryota; Metazoa; Arthropoda; Arachnida; Araneae; Eresidae
Source: Rfam